RNAcentral lists this ribosomal RNA (197 nucleotides) under uncultured bacterium. RNAcentral's name for it is "partial 16S ribosomal RNA". It matches the Rfam family "Bacterial small subunit ribosomal RNA", at positions 328 to 539 of the family's 1533-position model. The record is from RNAcentral.
ACGCUCGACACCUACGGAGGCAGCAGUGGGGAAUAUUGCACAAUGGGGGAAACCCUGAUGCAGCGACGCCGCGUGAGCGAAGAAGUAUUUCGGUAUGUAAAGCUCUAUCGGCAGGGAAGAAACUGACGGUACCUGACUAAGAAGCACCGGCUAAAUACGUGUCAGCAGCCGCGGUAAUCUGAGCGGGCUGGCAAGGC